GACAUCACAGCCUUCUCCAUCGUGGAGGUGGAUAAGCCAUCACUGUCAACCUCAACGGCUGCGGAAGCACAACGUUUGCUUUCUGGUCACGGUGUGGCCCAAUCUGCCCUUCGGCACGCGCCUCGACCGGCGCCAGCCCUUUGUGGAGCAGACAGGCCUGGCCUACGUGAGUGGCUGCGAGGUGCAGGGCAUGCUGGACGACAAGGACCGCGUCAUCGAGGAAGAAAUACCAUCCAGUUUACACCAACUCAGAUUGAGGCCAUCCAUGCUGGGAUGCAGCCUGAACCCACUAUGGUAAACUAUGGAUGGAUGUGGUAUAUGGUGUGUUCUGGUAUGGGCGUGUGCACGACGUACUGGCCAGGAGGCUGGAGCUGCUCAGAGACGUGGGCAGUCUGCAAGAGAGUCUGGACCUACACCUGUGAGACCGACAGACACUUCUACCUCUACCAGGUGAUGUCUCACUGGGAAGAGUACAUUUCCAAGGUCAGGUCUAAGCAGGGUGAAGGCCGAAGCCAUGGCCACACACUUCCCCUUCCACAAGUACUUCUCCAACGCCCCCCCAGCCUGUGUUCCACGGUCGCUCCUAUGAUGAGGACAUGGACUUCGUUGAGGGUUGCUACCAACAACCCACAUCAAGAAGAGAUUUACCCAGCUGGAGGCAGGCCACACACACACACACACACACACACACACACACACACACAUACACACACACACACAUCACAUCACAUGUUUACCUAGCUAAAGGGACAUACACCAUGAAGAUCCUCACUCUGUCAGAGAUAAACAUGUCACAAACAAACAGGCUCUUGAACAAACACACACAUACCAUAUUCAUCCCAGUCAGAGGUUAAUUAUGUCACACACACACCAUGUCAGCAGUUCCGAUGUUGCUCACGGGUCGUUAGCCAUCUUUGUGUGUGUGGUGAAGUGGGAGUUGGAACGCUGAACACACGUGAUUCUCUUUCCACAACUGAUGCCAUGACAGGUCUGCCCAGGCUCUCUCUCCCACUCCUACCGGAGAAGUAGCCACUGUGACAUCGCACUGCAUCACAUUUCAACAGUUUGUUUUGUGUUUCUGUUGUGAUAUUAGGAGUUUGUAAUAUGAUGGGGAUAUAGUGAGUUUCUUCCUUUUCAUUCUUUUCCACCCUCUUUGUUAAAUCUCUCUUUCACACACUCACUCACUCACUCACUCAUUCCCUCUGUUUGAGUGUGUUCUGUGAGACAUUGGUUGGAAUUACAUGGUGAUUUGGUGACAUGUCACCCUGUGCCC
Molecule: long non-coding RNA, 1273 nt
Organism: Oncorhynchus tshawytscha (Chinook salmon)
Lineage: Eukaryota; Metazoa; Chordata; Actinopteri; Salmoniformes; Salmonidae
Source: Ensembl